AUUGAACGCUGGCGGCAUGCUUUACACAUGCAAGUCGGACGGCAGCGGGGUAGUGCUUGCACUACUGCCGGCGAGUGGCGAACGGGUGAGUAACAUAUCGGAACGUACCGAGCAGUGGGGGAUAACUAAUCGAAAGAUUAGCUAAUACCGCAUAUAUUCUGAGGAAGAAAGCAGGGGACCUUUGGGCCUUGCGCUGUUUGAGCGGCCGAUAUCUGAUUAGCUGGUUGGUGGGGUAAAGGCCUACCAAGGCGACGAUCAGUAGCGGGUCUGAGAGGAUGAUCCGCCACACUGGGACUGAGACACGGCCCAGACUCCUACGGGAGGCAGCAGUGGGGAAUUUUGGACAAUGGGGGCAACCCUGAUCCAGCCAUGCCGCGUGUCUGAAGAAGGCCUUCGGGUUGUAAAGGACUUUUGUCCGGGAAGAAAAGCGCGAUGUUAAUACCAUUGCGUGCUGACGGUACCGGAAGAAUAAG
RNAcentral lists this ribosomal RNA (473 nucleotides) under Neisseria sp. oral taxon 014. RNAcentral describes it as "bacterial SSU rRNA". It matches the Rfam family "Bacterial small subunit ribosomal RNA", at positions 30 to 490 of the family's 1533-position model. The record is from RNAcentral. Lineage: Bacteria; Pseudomonadati; Pseudomonadota; Betaproteobacteria; Neisseriales; Neisseriaceae.